AGAGUUUGAUCAUGGCUCAGAUUGAACGCUGGCGGCAGGCCUAACACAUGCAAGUCGAACGGUAACAUUUCUAGCUUGCUAGAAGAUGACGAGUGGCGGACGGGUGAGUAAUGCUUGGGAACUUGCCUUUGCGAGGGGGAUAACAGUUGGAAACGACUGCUAAUACCGCAUAAUGUCUUCGGACCAAACGGGGCUUAGGCUCCGGCGCAAAGAGAGGCCCAAGUGAAAUUAGCUAGUUGGUAAGGUAACGGCUUACCAAGGCGACGAUCUCUAGCUGUUCUGAGAGGAAGAUCAGCCACACUGGGACUGAGACACGGCCCAGACUCCUACGGGAGGCAGCAGUGGGGAAUAUUGCACAAUGGGGGGAACCCUGAUGCAGCCAUGCCGCGUGUGUGAAGAAGGCCUUCGGGUUGUAAAGCACUUUCAGUUGUGAGGAAAAGUUAGUAGUUAAUACCUGCUAGCCGUGACGUUAACAACAGAAGAAGCACCGGCUAACUCCGUGCCAGCAGCCGCGGUAAUACGGAGGGUGCGAGCGUUAAUCGGAAUUACUGGGCGUAAAGCGCACGCAGGCGGUUUGUUAAGCUAGAUGUGAAAGCCCCGGGCUCAACCUGGUAUGGUCAUUUAGAACUGGCAGACUAGAGUCUUGGAGAGGGGAGUGGAAUUCCAGGUGUAGCGGUGAAAUGCGUAGAUAUCUGGAGGAACAUCAGUGGCGAAGGCGACUCCCUGGCCAAAGACUGACGCUCAUGUGCGAAAGUGUGGGUAGCGAACAGGAUUAGAUACCCUGGUAGUCCACACCGUAACGCUGUCUACUAGCUGUGUGUGAAUUUAAUUCGUGCGUAGCGAAGCUAACGC
This 852-nucleotide ribosomal RNA is filed under the name uncultured marine microorganism. RNAcentral's name for it is "bacterial SSU rRNA". It matches the Rfam family "Bacterial small subunit ribosomal RNA", at positions 8 to 858 of the family's 1533-position model. The record is from RNAcentral.